RNAcentral lists this ribosomal RNA (500 nucleotides) under uncultured bacterium. Its description in RNAcentral is "bacterial SSU rRNA". It matches the Rfam family "Bacterial small subunit ribosomal RNA", at positions 28 to 507 of the family's 1533-position model. The record is from RNAcentral.
GACGAACGCUGGCGGCGUGCCUAAUACAUGCAAGUCGAGCGGAAUGAUGAAGAAGCUUGCUUCUUCUGAUUUUAGCGGCGGACGGGUGAGUAACACGUGGGCAACCUACCUUGUAGAUUGGGAUAACUCCGGGAAACCGGGGCUAAUACCGAAUAAUCCAUUUUGCUUCAUGGCGAGAUGUUGAAAGACGGUUACGGCUGUCACUACAAGAUGGGCCCGCGGCGCAUUAGCUAGUUGGUAGGGUAAUGGCCUACCAAGGCGACGAUGCGUAGCCGACCUGAGAGGGUGAUCGGCCACACUGGGACUGAGACACGGCCCAGACUCCUACGGGAGGCAGCAGUAGGGAAUCUUCCACAAUGGACGAAAGUCUGAUGGAGCAACGCCGCGUGAGUGAAGAAGGUUUUCGGAUCGUAAAACUCUGUUGUAAGGGAAGAACACGUACGAGAGUAACUGCUCGUACCUUGACGGUACCUUAUUAGAAAGCCACGGCUAACUACGUG